GGCUCGGUGGUGUAAUUGAAGCACAGUCCACUCGUAUGGUUAGUUUGCGACCCUAUGAAACUUCAAAUACGAGUGGAAUUGAAUGGGUUCGAAUCCCAUCCGGGUCA
This is a non-coding RNA of Daldinia bambusicola, 107 nucleotides long. The record is from the annotation of a GenBank genome assembly. Lineage: Eukaryota; Fungi; Ascomycota; Sordariomycetes; Xylariales; Hypoxylaceae.